UAUCAAGGAGAGAUGGCUAAUCACCGGAAUGAAAUCUAAUUUUUCUAGGAUUUAUUAAUUUUGUGCACAUUUAUAUUUUGGAUAUACAUUUUUAGAUUCUUAUUCUUGAUCAUACAUUUUGAUCUUUGCUUCACUGAAACUUCAAACCGAAGGCCUCUUACUUUUAAACUUUUUAACUUGCUAAUAUUUAACUAAGUUCAGCAUAACUUUACUUUAUAAUAAUGUUGUUUGAAAUUAU
Molecule: long non-coding RNA, 238 nt
Filed under: Elaeis guineensis (African oil palm)
Lineage: Eukaryota; Viridiplantae; Streptophyta; Magnoliopsida; Arecales; Arecaceae
Description: long non-coding RNA (EGUI_LNC011943)
Source: RNAcentral